GGUGAACGCUAGCGAUAGGCUUAACACAUGCAAGUCGAGGGGCAGCAUGGUCUUAGCUUGCUAAGACUGAUGGCGACCGGCGCACGGGUGCGUAACGCGUAUGCAACUUGCCUCACAGAGGGGGAUAACCCGUCGAAAGACGGACUAAUACCGCGUACACUCCAUCUUGGGCAUCCAAGGUAGAGGAAAUGAAAUUCGCUGUGAGAUAGGCAUGCGUCCCAUUAGCUAGUUGGUGAGGUAGCGGCUCACCAAGGCGACGAUGGGUAGGGGAACUGAGAGGGUGCACCCCCACACUGGUACUGAGACACGGACCAGACUACUACGGGAGGCAGCAGUGAGGAAUAUUGGUCACUGGGCGCGAGCCUGAACCAGCCAAGUCGCGUGAAGGAUGACUGUCUUAUGGAUUGUAAACUUCUUUUAUACGGGAAUAACAAGAGUCACGUGUGACUCCCUGCAUGUACCGUAUGAAUAAGCCUCGGCUAACUCCGUG
RNAcentral lists this ribosomal RNA (490 nucleotides) under uncultured bacterium. RNAcentral's name for it is "partial 16S ribosomal RNA". It matches the Rfam family "Bacterial small subunit ribosomal RNA", at positions 28 to 507 of the family's 1533-position model. The record is from RNAcentral.